This 1082-nucleotide ribosomal RNA is filed under the name Cladosporium sp. RNAcentral's name for it is "SSU rRNA". It matches the Rfam family "Eukaryotic small subunit ribosomal RNA", at positions 47 to 1140 of the family's 1831-position model. The record is from RNAcentral. Lineage: Eukaryota; Fungi; Ascomycota; Dothideomycetes; Cladosporiales; Cladosporiaceae.
AGCCCUGCAUGUCUAAGUAUAGCAACUAUACGGUGAAACUGCGAAUGGCUCAUUAAAUCAGUUAUCGUUUAUUUGAUAGUACCUUACUACAUGGAUAACCGUGGUAAUUCUAGAGCUAAUACAUGCUAAAAACCUCGACUUCGGAAGGGGUGUAUUUAUUAGAUAAAAAACCAAUGCCCUUCGGGGCUCCUUGGUGAAUCAUAAUAACUUAACGAAUCGCAUGGCCUUGCGCCGGCGAUGGUUCAUUCAAAUUUCUGCCCUAUCAACUUUCGAUGGUAGGAUAGUGGCCUACCAUGGUAUCAACGGGUAACGGGGAAUUAGGGUUCGACUCCGGAGAGGGAGCCUGAGAAACGGCUACCACAUCCAAGGAAGGCAGCAGGCGCGCAAAUUACCCAAUCCCGACACGGGGAGGUAGUGACAAUAAAUACUGAUACAGGGCUCUUUUGGGUCUUGUAAUUGGAAUGAGUACAAUUUAAAUCCCUUAACGAGGAACAAUUGGAGGGCAAGUCUGGUGCCAGCAGCCGCGGUAAUUCCAGCUCCAAUAGCGUAUAUUAAAGUUGUUGCAGUUAAAAAGCUCGUAGUUGAACCUUGGGCCUGGCUGGCCGGUCCGCCUCACCGCGUGUACUGGUCCGGCCGGGCCUUUCCUUCUGGGGAACCUCAUGCCCUUCACUGGGCGUGUUGGGGAACCAGGACUUUUACUUUGAAAAAAUUAGAGUGUUCAAAGCAGGCCUUUGCUCGAAUACAUUAGCAUGGAAUAAUAGAAUAGGACGUGUGGUUCUAUUUUGUUGGUUUCUAGGACCGCCGUAAUGAUUAAUAGGGAUAGUCGGGGGCAUCAGUAUUCAAUCGUCAGAGGUGAAAUUCUUGGAUUGAUUGAAGACUAACUACUGCGAAAGCAUUUGCCAAGGAUGUUUUCAUUAAUCAGUGAACGAAAGUUAGGGGAUCGAAGACGAUCAGAUACCGUCGUAGUCUUAACCAUAAACUAUGCCGACUAGGGAUCGGACGGUGUUAGUAUUUUGACCCGUUCGGCACCUUACGAGAAAUCAAAGUUUUUGGGUUCUGGGGGGAGUAUGGUCGCAAGCUAA